UCUGUUGUUGGUGAAGAAGGACAGGNUAGNAACUGAUUUGUUUGACGGUAAUCAACCAGAAAGUCACGGCUAACUACGUGCCAGCAGCCGCGGUAAUACGUAGGUGGCAAGCGUUGUCCGGAUUUAUUGGGCGUAAAGCGAACGCAGGCGGGNNUACAGCUGUGAAAGCCCUCAGCUUAACUGGNGAACUGCAGCUGAAACUAUNUUCUUGAGUGCAGAAGAGGAGAGUGGAACUCCAUGUGUAGCGGUGGAAUGCGUAGAUUAUGGAAGAACACCGUGGCGAAGGCGGCUCUCUGGUCUGUAACUGACGCUGAGGUUCGAAAGCNUGGGUAGCGAACAGGAUUAGAUACCCUGGUAGUCCAUGCCGUAAACGAUGAGUGCUANGUGUUGGGAGGNUUCCGNCUCUNANUGCUGCANCNNACNCAUUAAGCACUCCGCCUGGGGAGUNCGACCGCAAGGUUAAAACUCAAAGNAAUUGACGGGGGCCCGCACAAGCGGNGGAGCAUGUNGUUUAUUCGCNACGCGANNAACCUUANCNGGUCUGACAU
This 548-nucleotide ribosomal RNA is filed under the name uncultured Lactobacillus sp. RNAcentral describes it as "partial 16S ribosomal RNA". It matches the Rfam family "Bacterial small subunit ribosomal RNA", at positions 432 to 987 of the family's 1533-position model. The record is from RNAcentral. Lineage: Bacteria; Bacillati; Bacillota; Bacilli; Lactobacillales; Lactobacillaceae.